RNAcentral lists this ribosomal RNA (460 nucleotides) under uncultured bacterium. RNAcentral's name for it is "partial 16S ribosomal RNA". It matches the Rfam family "Bacterial small subunit ribosomal RNA", at positions 338 to 795 of the family's 1533-position model. The record is from RNAcentral.
CCUACGGGAGGCAGCAGUGAGGAAUAUUGGUCAAUGGGCGCAAGCCUGAACCAGCCAAGUCGCGUGAGGGAUGACUGCCCUAUGGGUUGUAAACCUCUUUUAUAAGGGAAUAAAGUAAGUCACGUGUACCAUGUUGCAUUUACUUUAUGAAUAAGGAUCGGCUAACUCCGUGCCAGCAGCCGCGGUAAUACGGAGGAUCCGAGCGUUAUCCGGAUUUACUGGGUUUAAAGGGAGCGUAGGUGGUUUGUUAAGUCAAUUGUGAAAGUGUGUGGCUUAACCGUAGAAUUGCAAUUGAUACUGGCAGACUUGAGUUCAGAUGAGGUAGGCGGAAUUCGUGGUGUAGCGGUGAAAUGCUUAGAUAUCACGAAGAACUCCGAUAGCGAAGGCAGCUUACUAGACUGCGACUGACGCUGAGGCUCGAAAGCGUGGGUAGCAAACAGGAUUAGAUACCCUUGUAGUC